UACGGAGGUGGCAAGCGUUGUUCGGAAUCACUGGGCUUAGAGAGCAUGUAGGCGGCCUGUCAAGCGUCAUGUGAAAUCCCCCGGCUCAACCGAGGAAUUGCAUGGCGAACUGGCAGGCUUGAGGCAGGCAGGGGCGCGCGGAACUCUUGGUGGAGCGGUGGAAUGCGUAGAUAUCAAGAGGAACGCCGGUGGCGAAAGCGGUGCGCUGGGCCUGUCCUGACGCUGAGAUGCGAAAGCCAGGGGAGCGAACGGGAUUAGAUACCCGCGUA
This 269-nucleotide ribosomal RNA is filed under the name uncultured prokaryote. RNAcentral's name for it is "partial 16S ribosomal RNA". It matches the Rfam family "Bacterial small subunit ribosomal RNA", at positions 524 to 792 of the family's 1533-position model. The record is from RNAcentral.